CUGAGGCCAAACUUUAGACUGGAUUGAAUAAGCACAUAUCCUCUACAGGAAAUGGGCCAAUCAGAAUGUGUGCCUUUGGCAAGACUACAUUCCAGCUCUCCAUAGAGCACACAGGAGCCCUCUCACAGGGGUUUGGUGUGUCAUCAGACUGGCCAGAUCUAAAUGACCUCUGCAGGAGAACAGGAACAGAACUGAAGUGGACCUCCCACUCACAACCUGCAGAGGUCUCUGAUGCAGUGGUGGAGGACCCAUCAGAGAUGACACUGCACCACCACAACACCACCCGACUGCUCCAGCCAAGAACAGCAAGGCAGACUCUUCUGGAGAUUCAGAGAGCAGCUGUGUGUAGCACUGUAUGGCCAAGACAGAUUUCCCUUCUGGGACAAUAAAGCUCAUCUAAUCGAAUCUAAAAAACUUGACUUGU
This is a long non-coding RNA of Alosa sapidissima (American shad), 424 nucleotides long. RefSeq lists it as uncharacterized. The record is from RefSeq and is a predicted model, not a curated record. NCBI's taxonomy places the organism in Eukaryota, Metazoa, Chordata, Actinopteri, Clupeiformes, Clupeidae. The transcript is spliced from 3 exons.